GGGAGGUAGUGACAAUAAAUAACAAUACGGGGUCCCUUCGGGUUUCGUAAUUGGAAUGAGUACAAUUUAAAUCUCUUAACGGGGAACAAUUGGAGGGCAAGUCUGGUGCCAGCAGCCGCGGUAAUUCCAGCUCCAAUAGCGUAUAUUAAAGUUGUUGCAGUUAAAAAGCUCGUAGUUGAGUUUCGGGGUUAGUAAGUUGGUCAUGCCUUCGGUAUGUACUGGCUUUACUGAUUCCUCCUUCUUGACGAACCGUGAUGUAAUUAAUUUGGUGUUGCGGGAAAUCAGGACUGUUACUUUGAAAAAUCAGAGUGUUUAAAGCAAGCUAACGCUUGAAUACAUUAGCAUGGAAUAAUGAAAUAGGACGUUCGAUCCUAUUUUGUUGGUUUCUAGGAUUGACGUAAUGAUUAAUAGGGAUAGUUGGG
RNAcentral lists this ribosomal RNA (422 nucleotides) under uncultured Glomeraceae. RNAcentral's name for it is "SSU rRNA". It matches the Rfam family "Eukaryotic small subunit ribosomal RNA", at positions 459 to 886 of the family's 1831-position model. The record is from RNAcentral. Lineage: Eukaryota; Fungi; Glomeromycota; Glomeromycetes; Glomerales; Glomeraceae.